GGAAAGGAAGCUCUAUUGUUUCCAAGAGCCCUGUCUGGAGGAGUCAUAAAAAUUUAGACAUUUCUUCCUCUGAUGUCCAUUCACCGUGAUUGACUGAGGAAGUAGAGGAGUCUUUGAGGGUAGCUCCCAGGACAUUUUAUGGGUCUUUGUAAUGUCAUUCACUGAUGCCCCUACACUGGGUGACUCUUCCUAACAUCAUCAUGUUCUUCUGAUUCUCCCAGUAGCACAUGCGGUAGUCAUUUAGGGAGAACCUUCUGAGCUACAGCAAA
This 269-nucleotide long non-coding RNA is filed under the name Prolemur simus (greater bamboo lemur). RNAcentral describes it as "SMAD5 antisense RNA 1 conserved region 1 (ENSPSMG00000000269.1)". It matches the Rfam family "SMAD5 antisense RNA 1 conserved region 1". Lineage: Eukaryota; Metazoa; Chordata; Mammalia; Primates; Lemuridae. The record is from RNAcentral.